UUGCAUUCCAUAGUCAUUAUAGCACCAUCAGUCACAUCGAAAGCCAGGUUUUGUGCAAACUCAAUUCACUUUGGUCGCGAGCAACAAGUGAGAAUAAUAGUAGAGUCUGUGCGAGUUACAGUUUAAUAUUUAAAAAAAAAUAUAUUCCAGUUUCAAUAUGUCUAUUAAUAUCCAAGAAUGGGAAAGUAAGCUUAUUGGCAAGACAAUCAUUCCGAUUGGGGGACAAGUCACAAAUCCUGAAAAUGAGUUUUCUGAGGAAGCUAUAAAGGCAGGAGUUCCUGCAUAUCGGAUUUUAAAGCCGGACAGUAUGGUUACCAUGGAUUAUAGAGAGGAUAGGAUCAAUGUUUAUGUUGACGAUGCUAACAAUAAUGCUGAACGAGUUACUAUUGGAUAAUAUUUGCAUCUUACCUUUCUGUGCAUUUCAUUUUCAUGUAUCAGUUAUAACUUUUUUGCCUUUGUUCCAAUUAUUCAUUAAACACACAAAGUUAUCAAUGAUAUGAAUAAUCCCCA
Long non-coding RNA from Bradysia coprophila, 510 nucleotides. The record is from RefSeq and is a predicted model, not a curated record. NCBI's taxonomy places the organism in Eukaryota, Metazoa, Arthropoda, Insecta, Diptera, Sciaridae.